UGGUUUGACUGCCCCGCCCAGACUAAGCGGUGCUCCAUGCCAUUGGUGUUUUCCUACAGGAGGUCCAGAUAGAUAAGCAAUUGGAAGCCGGCCUUCGUGUCACCGUGCGCCUGGGGAAAAAGCAGAACGCAGAGAACAAAACGCAGAAGGGUGUUGUCGUAUCGUCACAAAAUCCCCGCACCGUCUCUGGCUUUUACUGGGGCUACAGCGUCCGAUUAGCUUCGUGUCUGAGCGCCGUCUUUGCCGAAUCCCCUUUUAAGGAUGGCUACGAUCUCUCCAUUGGAACCUCGGAGCGUGGAUCCUCCGUAGAUGAAGCCGCUCUACCUGCCUUCAGGUAGCCACCGUGGAUUUUCCGGGUUACGUUUUAUGCUAAACCUGUUGCAAGAAUUAGGAACGUCCGGCCUAAAAAAAGAAAAUUACUAAGAGAAACGAGAUAGCAGUCUUCCAAUAUUUGAGGGGCUGCCUCAAAGAAGAGGCGCGGGGGUCAACUUAAUUUUCCA
Molecule: non-coding RNA, 500 nt
Organism: Notechis scutatus (mainland tiger snake)
Lineage: Eukaryota; Metazoa; Chordata; Lepidosauria; Squamata; Elapidae
Source: RefSeq, a predicted model, not a curated record